UAGGGAAUCUUCGGCAAUGGGGGGAACCCUGACCGAGCAACGCCGCGUGAGUGAAGAAGGUUUUCGGAUCGUAAAGCUCUGUUGUUAAGGAAGAACGAGUGUGAGAAUGGAAAGUUCAUACUGUGACGGUACUUAACCAGAAAGGGACGGCUAACUACGUGCCAGCAGCCGCGGUAAUACGUAGGUCCCGAGCGUUGUCCGGAUUUAUUGGGCGUAAAGCGAGCGCAGGCGGUUAGAUAAGUCUGAAGUUAAAGGCAGUGGCUCAACCAUUGUAGGCUUUGGGAACGGUUUAACUUGAGUGCAGAAGGGGAGAGUGGAAUUCCAUGUGUAGCGGUGAAAUGCGUAGAUAUAUGGAGGAACACCGGUGGCGAAAGCGGCUCUCUGGUCUGUAACUGACGCUGAGGCUCGAAAGCGUGGGGAGCGAACAGG
RNAcentral lists this ribosomal RNA (429 nucleotides) under Bacteroidota bacterium. Its description in RNAcentral is "Bacteroidetes bacterium partial 16S ribosomal RNA". It matches the Rfam family "Bacterial small subunit ribosomal RNA", at positions 355 to 776 of the family's 1533-position model. The record is from RNAcentral. Lineage: Bacteria; Pseudomonadati; Bacteroidota.